Molecule: ribosomal RNA, 403 nt
Filed under: uncultured bacterium
Lineage: Bacteria
Description: partial 16S ribosomal RNA
Rfam family: Bacterial small subunit ribosomal RNA
Source: RNAcentral
AUUGAACGCUGGCGGCAGGCCUAACACAUGCAAGUCGAGCGAGCGGCGGACGGGUGAGUAAUGUAUGGGGACUGCCCGAUAGAGGGGGAAAACUACUGGAAACGGUGGCUAAUACCGCAUACUAGCGGAUAACCCAUAUGGGAUUAGCUAGUAGGUGGGGUAAAGGCACACCUAGGCGACGAUCUCUAGCUGGGCUGAGAGGAUGAUGAGCCACACUGGUACUGAGACACGGCCCCGACUCCUACGGAGGCAGCAGUGGGGAAUAGUGCACAAUGGGCGCAAGCCUGAUGCAGCCAUGCCGCGUGUAUGAAGAAGGCCUUAGGGUUGUAAAGUACUUUCAGCGGUGAGGCGUUACCCGCAGAAGAAGCACCGGCUAACUCCGUGCCAGCAGCCGCGGUAAUUC